UCUGAAUAAAUAUAGAAGGUCCAGCCUGCCCAGUGACAAAGUUAAACGGCCGCGGUACCCUAACCGUGCGAAGGUAGCGCAAUCACUUGUUCUUUAAAUGAGGACUAGUAUGAACGGCAUCACGAGGAUUAUACUGUCUCCCCCCUUUAAUCAGUGAAACUGAUCCCCCCGUGAAGAAGCGGGGAUAAACCUAUAAGACGAGAAGACCCUAUGGAGCUUUAAACUUACACUACUUGUCUACACACAACUCAUAAUAAACAGACAAAGCUACGUGCUAGUUUUUGGUUGGGGUGACCGCGGAGCAAAAUAAAACCUCCACAAUGAAAAGACUUCCCAUCUUAAUCCAAGAGCAACAUCUCAAAGAAUUGGUAAACCAACACAACUGACCCAAACAAUGCUUUGAUCAACGAAC
RNAcentral lists this ribosomal RNA (412 nucleotides) under Chiasmocleis haddadi group sp. ABGD cluster 18. RNAcentral's name for it is "partial large subunit ribosomal RNA". It matches the Rfam family "Bacterial large subunit ribosomal RNA", at positions 1834 to 2447 of the family's 2925-position model. The record is from RNAcentral. Lineage: Eukaryota; Metazoa; Chordata; Amphibia; Anura; Microhylidae.